This 688-nucleotide ribosomal RNA is filed under the name uncultured bacterium. RNAcentral describes it as "bacterial SSU rRNA". It matches the Rfam family "Bacterial small subunit ribosomal RNA", at positions 59 to 795 of the family's 1533-position model. The record is from RNAcentral.
AAGUCGAACGCCCCGCAAGGGGAGUGGCGGACGGGUGAGUAACGCGUGGGAACAUACCCUCCGGUUCGGAAUAACUCAGGGAAACUUGAGCUAAUACCGGAUACGGCUUAGCGGCGAAAGAUUUAUCGCCGGAGGAUUGGCCCGCGUUCGAUUAGCUAGUUGGUGAGGUAACGGCUCACCAAGGCGACGAUCGAUAGCUGGUCUGAGAGGAUGAUCAGCCACAUUGGGACUGAGACACGGCCCAAACUCCUACGGGAGGCAGCAGUGGGGAAUAUUGGACAAUGGGCGCAAGCCUGAUCCAGCCAUGCCGCGUGAGUGAUGACGGCCUUAGGGUUGUAAAGCUCUUUCGCUCGGGACGAUAAUGACGGUACCGAGAUAAGAAGCCCCGGCUAACUUCGUGCCAGCAGCCGCGGUAAUACGAAGGGGGCUAGCGUUGUUCGGAAUUACUGGGCGUAAAGCGCGUGUAGGCGGGUCUUUAAGUCAGGGGUGAAAUGCCAAGGCUCAACCUUGGAACUGCCUUUGAUACUGGAGAUCUUGAGUCCGGGAGAGGUGAGUGGAACUGCGAGUGUAGAGGUGAAAUUCGUAGAUAUUCGCAAGAACACCAGUGGCGAAGGCGGCUCACUGGCCCGGAACUGACGCUGAGACGCGAAAGCGUGGGGAGCAAACAGGAUUAGAUACCCUGGUAGUC